GGGAAUGGGUGGGCCAUGAUGCUGUUUAUUCUUUUAUAGUUAUAAAGCAAAGUGAAUGAUCUAUUCAUUGUCAUGUACAGAUGCUUUAUGUGUGUGUCAUUGCAUUAGAUUGUAAAGCAUUUAGCGAAAUCAGCGCUGUCAGUCUGGUUUCCCAUAUGUCUCAGCAGUUCUGAUGGAUUAAACCCAGUGCAGUCACCAUACAAUAAUCACAAUUUCUGUUUAUUGAAGCAUGGUAUACAAUAAUGGUCGACUACAUGACUUAAGUGAGUGUAAAGAAGCAUUUGCUCAUGCCAGUGUCAGGUGUUUUCUGUGAAUUUUUGCUUUCCAAAAAGAAUGAUACACAUCUUGUAGGCCAAAGCUUCCAGUCCAUCUUGAGUAAAAAGAUGUUUCAAAUCUCUUUUUGCUUAAAAAUGGACUUGCCUUUAUUUCCCUUAUGGAUGAUUGGAAAGGAUGAACAUACAUGAGUCACAGGAUGUACGACACUAUAAACUUGAACAAUUUGCCAUGUUCAUCUUUACACUCUACAGAAUCUGAAUAUUUUUUUAUUGCCUGUCAUCAGUUACACAUGCUGAAAUGAAGAUGCAGGCGGGUGUGAUGUUUCCCAGCAUCACUUUUAUAUUGACUGAAGCUGCUGGUGUAAUUCUAUCAAAGAAUGAGAUGUUUUAGUUACUCUAGUCAUCCGUUCCACCCACAUAAUGCUGCUGUAUUCAUAAUUCAUCAACUCAUUUGUAUGUCUUUUAUAGUAUUCAUAUGAUUCCAAGAUGUGCUUUAAAAUUAGCCUAGCGAGCCUGAGCAUUGCAUUCAGCUCACUUUGAUAAAGUGCUCAGGACCAAUCACAGCUUCUCUUUUAAACUGAUCAGCACGUUUUAUUAAUUAUUCAUUUGUUUGUGAGAAGUGUAUACUGAUACAUUUUCACUGGUAAACAUCUCAGGAGAGUUGAUCUUUCACCUAAAUAAAAGAAAGAUAAGAGUUAAAGGUGUUUCAUAUGUAAGCUUAGGAAACAGUAUUGAACCAUCGCUCCUACAUUCCAGCUGCUCUGUUGACGUGCUUCAUCUGUCUGAUGGCUUGUCUGUCUCUUGAGAGAACAAUGUUUCUUCCUGUAUAUAUUAUUGUUUGCAUGUAAAAACAGGUCAACAUAUUUUCAGCCUAAUUUUAUCUGAACACAUUGAAGCAUGCAGUACACAGUACAGUAGAUUUAUGUUCUGUUAGAUGAAACAUUGAUGCACACAAAACUGGAUUGUUCUUAUCUGAUUGGCUGUCUUUAUGUAACUACCAUGAGUAAUGCCACAUUUGUGUUUUUAUAAAUCUAUGAAAACAAAGUUGUUUUUACAGCAUACCAGGCUGGCACAGAGAGCUAGAAUUAUAUUCUGGAUUUGCUGCUUUUGGCAGAUUAGUAAUCACUUAAAGAUUUGAUAUGAGUUUGAUAUGAGGCAUUAUGUAGACAUUAAACAAGAUACCCACUCACAGAAGUGUACAGUACAUUCUGCUUUGUUUCUUGCUUUCUGAUUUAUGUCUGUGAAAUAAGUAUUUAAAUUUUUUUCUUUUUUUCUGCUCCAUACUGAGUUUCUACACAUUUUCAGCUAUUUGUGUGUCAGUACUGACAUGUAAAGCAUAUAACAGGGAUCCUCAAAUCUGGCCCACGAGAUCCACUUUCCUGAAGAGUUUAGCUCUAACCCUAAUCAAACACUCCUGAGCAUGCUAAUCAGUGUCUUCAGGAUCAUUAGAAAAUCACAGGUAGGUGAGUUUGAUCAGGGUUGGAGCUAAACUCUGUAGCGCAUUGGCCCUCCAGGGCAAGAUUUGAGGAACCCUGAUACAAAACAACAAAAACAAAAAAAGUGAUUGGACACUUUUAGUUGCUCAUCCCGUCUAAGCAUGGGUUUCUUGGUCAGAGUAAGCAACAAUAUAGAUAUGAGCAUUUAGUCAGAAGUCUGGCACCGCAGGACUCAGGGGUUUAAGGUCUGUCCUUGGUUUAGGCCAUUCAUUGAUCUCAGUCUGUAUGGAGGUGAGAGUUAUUUCUGUGUGCAGUGAAGGUUAAAGGUUUAGCUCAGAGAGCAGUGACUUCCCUUCAGGCUUUUCAGACAGGCACUGUAUCAUCACAGGUCAUUAAAGGCUUGCUGAAGAACCGGGGAGCACUAAGGACCACUGCCUUCAGAAGAAGCCAAAUGGCACAACUCCCUAGGUUUCAAUACGCUUUAGACAAACGCUUGCUUUGUCCCACUGGUUUACACUAAGUGGAUAAGAUAUCCGCUCCAGUAGGGCUUUGUUUAGAUAACAGGGCUAAAGGCAAACCUUGGAUAUUUACACUUCUAAGCUGCAGACGGAGGAAGACAUACUGGACUUUACUCAGGCAGCAAAAUGCCUGAAACACUACAAGGUGUUCUCUUUCACACUCUUGAUCUUGCAUCGAUGUCUGUUUUUUUAUUUAGCCAACAUUUUUUAUCUAAAACCAGAUACAAAAGAAAAAUUGGUUACUGUCAGGAUUGCCAGGUCUGGAAACAAAAAAAACCCAAUAGCUAUUCAAAACUAGCCCAAUCACGUUUUUUUCCCCAUGGUUUUCCCCUCCAUCAAAAUUGCAUUCCGGGGAGUGGAGGGAGAUGGAUUUAACCUGCUGACUAAAAAACAACCAGCGGAAAACAACAGCACAAAAGUAGCCUAAUUCCACGGUGUCUGGAGCACAGUGAAAAGAAAAACAUGAGUAAAUUACAUUCUUUUUGUGAAUUGCCCCUGGAGUCAGCAAGAACGCAGGAAGAUGGCAAAUUUACAUCCCCAAAGACAAUUUGUACAUGGAGCAUAACAGCAAAAAUAGGCUCAUAAAUCACAUCAGCUGCGGCCCUGAGUGCAAUCGAUUACCUCACGGCAAAAGGAAUGGGGACAUUAAAGCCUCUGGUCCCUAAACAUCCACAUCAGGAGUCUCUGUAUGGGAUAUAUGAGAGCAGGACCCUCCAGAGAUUAGGAGGAGGAAAGGGGACAUCAGGUCACCGUAGCCACCAGAUCCAGUCUGUAUCCAGGUCAGAUGGUCACUGCAGUCACCCGGAUCCAGUAUGUAUCCAGCCCAGAUGGUGGUCAGCACCUGGGAAGGACCUCUACAGCCCUGAAUGUCAGCGGAGACCAGGACAACUAGAUGAGCCCCAGAUACAGAUCCCCUGUAAAGACCUUGUCUCAGAUGACCACCGGGACAAGACCACAGGAACCAGUUGAGUCCUCUGCACAAUUUGUCUUUGCUGCAGCCUGGAAUUGAACUGCUGGUUUCGUCUGGUCAGAGGAGAACUGGCCCCAGACUGAGCCUGGUUUCUCCCAAGGUUUUUUCUCCAUUCUGUCACCGAUGGAGUUUUGGUUCCUCUGGCUUGCUUAGUUGGGGACACUUCAUUUCCAGUGACAUCGUCGACUUGAUUGCACAGAUACUAUUUAAACUGAACUGAGAUGAUGACAUCACUGAAUUCAAUGAUAAACUGCCUUUAACUGAAAAAUGAGUGUUUACUAUUGUCAUUUUGCAUUAGACACUAUUUUCCUAAUUAAUGCUGUACAGUAAGCUUUGACACAAUCUGUAUUGUUAAAAGCGCUAUACAGGUCCUUCUAAAAAAAUUAGCAUAUUGUGAAAAAGUUCAUUAUUUUCCAUAAUGUAAUGAUAAAAAUUAAACUUUCAUAUAUUUUAGAUUCAUUGCACACCAACUGAAAUAUUUCAGGUCUUUCAUUGUUUUAAUACUGAUGAUUUUGGCAUACAGCUCAUGAAAAC
Cyprinus carpio carpio is the source of this 3733-nucleotide long non-coding RNA. The record is from Ensembl. Lineage: Eukaryota; Metazoa; Chordata; Actinopteri; Cypriniformes; Cyprinidae.